AGCAUAUACUUGACUUAUGUUACGGCCAUAAGAUUGGUAAUUGUAUACCGUAUGUUU
Molecule: transfer RNA, 57 nt
Filed under: Taenia solium (pork tapeworm)
Lineage: Eukaryota; Metazoa; Platyhelminthes; Cestoda; Cyclophyllidea; Taeniidae
Description: tRNA-Arg
Source: RNAcentral